UACGUAGGGCGCGAGCGUUGUCCGGAAUUAUUGGGCGUAAAGAGCUCGUAGGCGGUUUGUUGCGUCGGAUGUGAAAACUCGAGGCUCAACCUCGAGACGCCGGUGGAAACCAUCAGACUAGAGUCCGGAAGAGGAGAGUGGAAUUCCUGGUGUAGCGGUGAAAUGCGCAGAUAUCAGGAAGAACACCCGUGGCUAAGGCGGCUCUCUAGUACGGUACUGACGCUGAGACGCGAAAGCGUGGGGAGCGAACAGG
RNAcentral lists this ribosomal RNA (253 nucleotides) under uncultured bacterium. RNAcentral's name for it is "partial 16S ribosomal RNA". It matches the Rfam family "Bacterial small subunit ribosomal RNA", at positions 524 to 776 of the family's 1533-position model. The record is from RNAcentral.